UAUGGCGACCGGCGCACGGUGAGUAACACGUAUCCAACCUGCCGAUGACUCGGGGAUAGCCUUUCGAAAGAAAGAUUAAUACCCGAUGGCAUAGUUCUUCCGCAUGGUAGAACUAUUAAAGAAUUUCGGUCAUCGAUGGGAUGCGUUCCAUAGGUUGUUGGCGGGGUAACGGCCCACCAAGCCUUCGAUGGAUAGGGGUUCUGAGAGGAAGGUCCCCCACAUUGGAACUGAGACACGGUCCAA
RNAcentral lists this ribosomal RNA (243 nucleotides) under uncultured bacterium. RNAcentral describes it as "partial 16S ribosomal RNA". It matches the Rfam family "Bacterial small subunit ribosomal RNA", at positions 87 to 334 of the family's 1533-position model. The record is from RNAcentral.